UCUGAAGCCCACCUGUGAGCUGGUCCAGGAAAUGAUGGACUCUGAUUUCCACACCCCUUUCCUGUGAACUUGUCUCCAAUUUAGUCUGUCAAGGUCCCUUUCUUGUGAGUUAAUUUCUCCCUAGUGCUACUUCUCAGAUUGGCCAGUGACUCACAGAGUGGCACAAGUACAAAUCCAGCCUGCCUUGCAUCCAACACAGAUUCCAGGACCACUGAAACCAGCUGAGGCAUCCUGAAAGCCUAAGAUUGACCACACCAGAGGAACCAGACUGCCCUUCACAAGGAAACCUGGCGUGGAAACACAUUGCUUCCCUAACACUUUCCUGAAGGAGCUUGGACGACUUGACUCAGGCAGGUUGAGAGACCAGAAAGCCAUCCAGAGAGAGCAGGGACCCAGCCAUCCACCACCUGGUUCUACUCCCACCCUAAGUCUUUCCUCUGAUGGAUUACUGAGUGCUUAUUUGAUCCAUGAUUGUCAAUCAUCCAUCCUUGCAACAUUUAACAAAAUACAGACCCACUCUGUUCUCAGAAAGCACCACACAGAGAUUCUGAAGCACUAAUCAGGAUGUAGAAAAACACUCCAGUCACCCUGCAUUGGAAACGGAGAAGUGCUUUCAGAGCCAUACUUCCUGCUGCGAGGUCAUUAGCAGUGCGUCCAUCCACAGCAAAGUGUUUUGCCACAGGAUGGAAAUUAUCUGGUUCCACCCCUGGAUAUGAUCAACCUUCAUAGACUGUGCAUUAUACAUGCCAUCUCUGCGACCUGCAAAGAUGAAAAGGGAAAGCAGGAGAUGGAAACUGGUCAGCAGCCUUCUGGUUUAUCAGCCACACUUACAAAGGUCAAAUGUGCAAAGCGUCAGAAGACAGUGGUUAGAGUGAGAUUCUACAUGCUCUCAAUGAAGAAUAAAGCAUGCAGGAAGAACCUUUCAAAAGGUUACAACCAGAGACCUGAAGGAAGCAAGGAAGAAAGCCACAUGGUUGUCAAAGAGAAGAGGAAAGGAGAUCACUAAGCUGGAUGACGUUUUCUGUUUCUUUGAAAACAGAGAAGAUGACAAGUUAGGGAGAGAUCAGAGGUCAUACUGUGAAGCACCUUUGGAUAAACGGCAGGGACUUUGGAUUUUCUUUUUGAAUAUAAGCAUAAUCCAUUGAAAGGUCUCAUGCAGGGAAGUGGCAAAACACUUUUAAAAUUUUUCAUCUUUUCUUUCUGAAGCAGAGUUCACUCUCCAUUUAUUUGUCUUCUUUGAUAUCUCUCAAUAGAAUGUUGCAGUUUUAGUAUUCUCCUAUUAAACAUUUGUUUAACUUUCUUGUUCUUCUAAAUAAUAAUUUAUUCUCCUUAUUUUCAUCAUUAGUGUCCCUGAAAUGCCAGAGUUUCAGACUAGGUCUACUACUCACCACACAAAAAGCCAAUCACUGAGACACAAGUAUUGACAAGUAAGAAGGCUUUAAUCAGGUGCUGCAGCCUAGUUGAUGAGAGAUUAGUCUCAAAUCCACCUCCCUGAUGGACUAAAAUCAGGGGAUUAUGUAGUAGAGAAGAAAUGUAACUACAUGUGAGGAAAUAGGAAUCAGGGAGGGAUAAGCAAGAGGAGUUGGUCAGAAAGACACGGGUGGUCAGUUAGGCCACCAUGAUGGGUGAG
Molecule: long non-coding RNA, 1630 nt
Filed under: Homo sapiens (human)
Lineage: Eukaryota; Metazoa; Chordata; Mammalia; Primates; Hominidae
Description: HSALNT0252386
Source: RNAcentral